Acanthopagrus latus (yellowfin seabream) is the source of this 543-nucleotide long non-coding RNA. RefSeq lists it as uncharacterized. The transcript has 2 exons. The record is from RefSeq and is a predicted model, not a curated record. Lineage: Eukaryota; Metazoa; Chordata; Actinopteri; Spariformes; Sparidae.
AAUACAUUUAAUUUGGAAUCAACAACAGAAGUUGUGAAAGUUGAUUUUUUUUUUCUUUUUUACUCCAUCGACGACUGAAUUUUAUAAAAAUCAACUCUAAGAAUAAGCGAGGCAGCUGACUGGAGAGGAGGGAGUUUUCUGGAGGAGAGACACUGAGGGAAGCUCUGGAGAGGAAAGAGAGAGAUGUUAAAGAGAGCAGAGAGAGGGAAAGAAACAAGAUAAAAGAAAGAUGAAUACAUUUAAUUUGGAGUCAAUAACAGAAGAUGUGAAAGUACUACAAAUUAAUUGAAUGCAUUGAAACAUCUGCAAACCCUUUGAAAUACAAAAAAGUGUGCAUCAUAUACAUCCUAUUUCUUUACUUUUAUAGCAGGAUUUGUCUGCACUGACUAUUUUGUUGCAAUACUAUGUUUGUUGGCACAACACUGCUGUAAACUGUUGAUCAGGGGAAUCGUGUGAAACCGGCAGCAUGAUGUACAUCACGUUGCCCAUGUGCUCGCAACAGUUUGUAAUAGUGUCAGCUGACUAAAUAUUGAUUUCAAUGAU